This 113-nucleotide ribosomal RNA is filed under the name Petromyzon marinus (sea lamprey). Lineage: Eukaryota; Metazoa; Chordata; Hyperoartia; Petromyzontiformes; Petromyzontidae. The record is from RNAcentral.
GCCCCAAAUACAUGGAAUGCGCUCGAACUCAUCAGAUCUCAGAAGCUAAGCAGGUUUAAGCCUGGAUUGUGCUUGGAUGGGCAACCACCAAGCAUAAUUGCUUGUUGUAGGCU